This 167-nucleotide ribosomal RNA is filed under the name Marasmius sp. RNAcentral's name for it is "partial large subunit ribosomal RNA". It matches the Rfam family "Eukaryotic large subunit ribosomal RNA", at positions 99 to 261 of the family's 3401-position model. The record is from RNAcentral. Lineage: Eukaryota; Fungi; Basidiomycota; Agaricomycetes; Agaricales; Marasmiaceae.
AGGGAAAAGCUCAAAUUUAAAAUCUGGCAGCUUCGCUGUCCGAGUUGUAAUUUAGAGAAGUGUUGCCCGCGCUGGACCGUGUACAAGUCUCCUGGAAUGGAGCGUCAUAGAGGGUGAGAAUCCCGUCUUUGACACGGACUACCAGUGCAUUGUGGUGCGCUCUCAAA